ACUGUUUCUAUCUCUCCUAAUCUGAUUCCAGAUCAUUUCAUUGACUUUUGUCUAUCCUUUUUAUACUCUCUUCAACUGUGUCUCUGAUUCCGCAGUCAGUGCAGCUACCUUUUACCCCACCUCAGUGUCUGUGCCAUUGGACCUUAUUGUUAGGAGGACCCCAGUGGGGCUCCCAGACGCUGUGAGAACUCAAGCAUUCCCUGGAAGACCCCAGUGGGGCUCCCAGACGCUGUGAGAACUCAAGCAUUCCCUCGUCCUUUUGCACCCCUUCUACCCCCACAGGCCUUCAUCAGUGGUGCUGGUGAGUCAGACAUCUAUGUGGUCAUGUGCCGAACAGGAGGACCAGGCCCCAAGGGCAUCUCAUGCAUAGUUGUUGAGAAGGGGACCCCUGGCCUCAGCUUUGGCAAGAAGGAGAAAAAGCUUCUUACGUUGGUGCACUUUGUUGCUCCAGGAAGAGACACUUAGAGAAGACCUGGUGUUGACCACAAGUCUCAGUAAUGGAAGGCAUGUGGUCCCUUUUUCUUCUUUGAUUAAAAAUAAAGUAAAACUCAUUGGAGAUGAUUGUGGGUAUUUCAGCAACCUAAGAAGGACACUUAGGUACUGUAAGUAAUUUGAAAAGUAAGAUACUUCUAUUAUUAAGAACCGCCAUGGCCAGGGCAUGAACAGGAGACCUGUGAUUAUGUAACCGUAAUUGGCAAUAAGGGCUCAAGACCCAUUCAGAUUUUUUAGGCCAGAUGCUCAAAGCAGUCACCUCUUUCUAGUUUGUACUGUUCUGGGGGACUUUGUGAGAGAAGGCAGGUAAUGAAAUGACCCCUAAGUGUACCUCUUUCUCACAGCUCCUCGGGUUUCCGUAUUCUCCUACAGGACCCUUCCUGGUCCUCUGUAACUGCAAAGCAUUAUGCAUUUCAGCACCCUUCUCUGUGGCAACACAGCAACCAUUU
RNAcentral lists this small RNA (941 nucleotides) under Pongo abelii (Sumatran orangutan). RNAcentral's name for it is "retained intron". Lineage: Eukaryota; Metazoa; Chordata; Mammalia; Primates; Hominidae. The record is from RNAcentral.